UACGGAGGGUGCGAGCGUUGUCCGGAAUCACUGGGCGUAAAGGGUGCGUAGGCGGCGCGGGAAGUCAUCGGUGAAAGUUCAGGGCUCAACUCUGAAUCGGCCGGUGAUACUCUCGUGCUUGAGCACUGUAGAGGCAGGUGGAAUUCCGGGUGUAGCGGUGGAAUGCGUAGAGAUCCGGAAGAACACCGGUGGCGAAGGCGGGUCUCUGGGCCGAUACUGACGCUGAGGAGCGAAAGCGUGGGGAGCGAACAGG
Molecule: ribosomal RNA, 253 nt
Filed under: uncultured bacterium
Lineage: Bacteria
Description: partial 16S ribosomal RNA
Rfam family: Bacterial small subunit ribosomal RNA
Source: RNAcentral